RNAcentral lists this long non-coding RNA (266 nucleotides) under Eucalyptus grandis. RNAcentral describes it as "long non-coding RNA (EGRA_LNC007220)". The record is from RNAcentral. Lineage: Eukaryota; Viridiplantae; Streptophyta; Magnoliopsida; Myrtales; Myrtaceae.
AAAGGUUCGAAGGGGGCGGUGAGAGAGGAAGUAUUGGAGAGGCAUAUUCUGUGGUGUUUUCUCUUGAAUUAGAGUUGUCCUCAGUCCAUAGCCAAUUGGUUUUCCUGCUAAAUGCAAUCAACUGCAGCGCCACACUCUGCGGAACGAUCCUUGAACUGGAACAGCGAUAGAGCUUGGGACAUGCUCCAUCUUCCGUCGAGAAUCAUGAUGAGAAGUAUCAGCAAAACGUCGUCCUGGAAAAAAAAAGCAUGGCUCUGCUGAUCUGG